RNAcentral lists this long non-coding RNA (1840 nucleotides) under Suricata suricatta (meerkat). Its description in RNAcentral is "lncRNA (ENSSSUG00005013539.1)". The record is from RNAcentral. Lineage: Eukaryota; Metazoa; Chordata; Mammalia; Carnivora; Herpestidae.
UCCCUCCCUUCCUCAGGCCAGUGUUCUCCAAUCUGCACCCACAAAGGGAGUCGAGAACCCCAGGUCCCGGACGCCCCCGGUCACCCGGGUCUGCUGCUGACCUCGCCCUUCCCAUCUCCGCAGGGUCCCCCCCGAAUCCCCAGCGGCUCCGGCCUCGGCACACCGGGUCCUCGGCGGCCCCCUCCCCCAGCGGCAGCCUCGGCUCCAGAGCCGUCCCCGCAGAUGCGAGCAGCAGCCGCGCGGGGGCGCCCCCGCCAUCUGGAUGGGCAGAGCGUUGCCUUGGCCGGCAGGCCUCGUGGGGACAGACCUCUCCUGAGUGGCUCCCUGUCAAAGGCUCUGGCCGCGCCGGCGGGGGACCGGGUCGUGCAGGAGGCAGACGACGGCCGGCCGCCCUGUGCACGUGAGGACACGGGAGGAUAAAGUCUGAGACGCUGCGUGUGUUCUGACAGUUCUGGUGAUGACAUGGGCUCUGAGACACGGCUUCUAGAAGAGGAAGGAGGACCGCUCGGGCUGGUCAUGAGAGGGCCUGAGAAGAUGCUCAGGGUCCCCUGCGAGGAAGGCGGGUCCUGUUCAGGAAGGUCUGGAGGCUGAGCCGCAAGAGGUGGAACGGAGACCAGCCUUUCAAAUGGUCUUGACCUGACUUGAUGGUCAUUCACUCUUUUCCGAAUGGAAGUGGAGGGGAGCUGUCCCCACCGAGGGCGGGCUGGGACUCGAACUGACAGGGGAUUCGCUCUUGACUGCCGAGCCAAGGGGUCUCCAGUGCUGAGUUAAAUGACCUCUCUAAGGGGCGAGGAAGUUCUGGAGAGAAAAGUUUCUUUGCUGAGCUGAAUGCGCCUUCUCUGGAAACCAAAGAUAAAUGAUGCAAACCCUUGCUUCCUGGUGAGAAGCUGCUCUUUGCUGAGGCCCUAACACCCCCCUCUGCCGCUUUAGGAACAAACCCGGAUGGAUGAACCCCUGACUCGCGGGUGUGGGGACACCGGGGUGGCUCAAGAUUUCAAGAUUGCGGCUCUGGCUGAGAGACCCCACGGCAUGCUGAGGGCCAGGCACAAGCGAGCACCUCCCCACCCUGUGGGAUAUGUGGUGUUCGUCAGGCACUCCUGGCUGCCCAGGGACAAAAGAAAAGAAAGAAAACAAACGGCUAACUGGUAGGGAUCACAGUCAUGCAGGACACGGAGUCUCCAUCAGUUUACAAAUACCCUGUAAAUUACAAGACAACGGUGAUCUCAUCUCCUGAAGCCUGUGGACUCCGUUCCCUGGAUCUCCAGUAUCACUGUCCCCUCCAGAGUGAUGUGGGAACACAGGCAAGAAGGAAAUGGCAGUUAAAAUUAAGUUUCCUCAACACCCGCAGCCCAUGGACAGGCUCCUGAGGCAAAUACCCAGUGGAACAUUUCUCCAGGAACCUCCUCUCGUCCUGAGGUGGACGCCCGGCUAGUAGCUUGGCAACGGCGUGGCCUCCAGGAUCUUAGGGUCCUCUUCGCACAUCAGAGUCCCUCGGGAGGCCUCCCUUUUGGCUCUACCUCCCCAAGUCCAUAUUCUUUUUUUUUUUUUGAAAUUUUAUUUAUUUAUUUUUUACUUUAUAAAGUUUCAUAUUUUUUAACAUAUGCAAUUAUUUUCCAUCAUUUACAAUACAGUAGUUACAAUGACACUCCAAACAGAAAAGCAAAGUAAAAAAUUAAAACACCAACUUCUGUUUCAUGUAAUUAGACUUAUACAGAAAUUGGAAGGUUAAGUAACAACUAGUUAAUCACCUAAUUUCACAGCUAUCUGAAGUGGCAAUCGUUAUAUAGCAGCUUAUCUAUGAUACAUUCAAGAUAAAUAAUACAAUUUAUUACUUGUUCAU